RNAcentral lists this ribosomal RNA (253 nucleotides) under uncultured bacterium. RNAcentral's name for it is "partial 16S ribosomal RNA". It matches the Rfam family "Bacterial small subunit ribosomal RNA", at positions 524 to 776 of the family's 1533-position model. The record is from RNAcentral.
UACGAAGGGGGCUAGCGUUGCUCGGAAUCACUGGGCGUAAAGCGCACGUAGGCGGCUUCUUAAGUCAGGGGUGAAAUCCUGGAGCUCAACUCCAGAACUGCCUUUGAUACUGGGAGGCUCGAGUCCGGAAGAGGUGAGUGGAACUGCGAGUGUAGAGGUGAAAUUCGUAGAUAUUCGCAAGAACACCAGUGGCGAAGGCGGCUCACUGGCCCGGUACUGACGCUGAGGUGCGAAAGCGUGGGGAGCAAACAGG